CGGAGGGUCCGAGCGUUAAUCGGAAUUACUGGGCGUAAAGCGUGCGCAGGCGGUUUUAAGCCAGAUGUGAAAGCCCUGGGCUCAACCUAGGAAUAGCAUUUGGAACUGGGGAACUAGAGUCUUGUAGAGGGAGGUAGAAUUUCAGGUGUAGCGGUGAAAUGCGUAGAUAUCUGAAGGAAUACCAGUGGCGAAGGCGGCCUCCUGGACAAAGACUGACGCUCAUGCACGAAAGCGUGGGGAGCAAACAGGAUU
RNAcentral lists this ribosomal RNA (252 nucleotides) under uncultured bacterium. RNAcentral's name for it is "partial 16S ribosomal RNA". It matches the Rfam family "Bacterial small subunit ribosomal RNA", at positions 526 to 779 of the family's 1533-position model. The record is from RNAcentral.